GGGUUGUGAGGUUAAGCGACUAAGCGUACACGGUGGAUGCCCUGGCAGUCAGAGGCGAUGAAGGACGUGCUAAUCUGCGAUAAGCGUCGGUAAGGUGAUAUGAACCGUUAUAACCGGCGAUUUCCGAAUGGGGAAACCCAGUGUGUUUCGACACACUAUCAUUAACUGAAUCCAUAGGUUAAUG
This 184-nucleotide ribosomal RNA is filed under the name Escherichia coli. Its description in RNAcentral is "partial 23S ribosomal RNA". It matches the Rfam family "Bacterial large subunit ribosomal RNA", at positions 1 to 176 of the family's 2925-position model. Lineage: Bacteria; Pseudomonadati; Pseudomonadota; Gammaproteobacteria; Enterobacterales; Enterobacteriaceae. The record is from RNAcentral. RNAcentral also lists the same sequence under 1 other name.